GGGUUGUGAGGUUAAGCGACUAAGCGUACACGGUGGAUGCCCUGGCAGUCAGAGGCGAUGAAGGGCGUACUAAUCUGCGAUAAGCGCCGGUAAGGUGAUAUGAACCGUUAUAACCGGCGAUACCCGAAUGGGGAAACCCAGUGUGAUUCGUCACACUAUCAUUAACUGAAUCCAUAGGUUAAUGAGGCGAACCGGGGGAACUGAAACAUCUAAGUACCCCGAGGAAAAGAAAUCAACCGAGAUUCCCCCAGUAGCGGCGAGCGAACGGGGAGGAGCCCAGAGCCUGAAUCAGCAUGUGUGUUAGUGGAAGCGUCUGGAAAGGCGCGCGAUACAGGGUGACAGCCCCGUACACAAAAGCGCAUGUGCUGUGAGCUCGAUGAGUAGGGCGGGACACGUGGUAUCCUGUCUGAAUAUGGGGGGACCAUCCUCCAAGGCUAAAUACUCCUGACUGACCGAUAGUGAACCAGUACCGUGAGGGAAAGGCGAAAAGAACCCCGGCGAGGGGAGUGAAAAAGAACCUGAAACCGUGUACGUACAAGCAGUGGGAGCACAGGUUUACCUG
RNAcentral lists this ribosomal RNA (562 nucleotides) under Salmonella enterica. RNAcentral describes it as "partial 23S ribosomal RNA". It matches the Rfam family "Bacterial large subunit ribosomal RNA", at positions 1 to 591 of the family's 2925-position model. RNAcentral also lists the same sequence under 1 other name. The record is from RNAcentral. Lineage: Bacteria; Pseudomonadati; Pseudomonadota; Gammaproteobacteria; Enterobacterales; Enterobacteriaceae.